RNAcentral lists this non-coding RNA (25 nucleotides) under Drosophila melanogaster (fruit fly). The record is from RNAcentral. Lineage: Eukaryota; Metazoa; Arthropoda; Insecta; Diptera; Drosophilidae. RNAcentral also lists the same sequence under 5 other names.
CCUGCCAGUAGUCAUAUGCUUGUCU